CCUGUGGUAGGUGAGCUGGGUAGGAGCUGAUCUUCGGGGCACCGGGGAGUUGAGGGGAGCUGAGCUGAGUUAGGGGUUAAAGGAGACCUGCAGAUGGCUUCAGCUUCCUCCACGCUGGACGGAGGCUCUUCCCCCACCCCCUAUCCCACCACUAAAACGCAGAUGGAGUUCUGAAUGGAGACCGUAACAAGGAAAAGAAAGACCCGUAUUUUGUGGAAACCCCGUACGGUUUUCAGCUAGACUUAGAUUUCGUCAAGUACGUGGAUGACAUACAGAAGGGAAACACCAUCAAGAAACUAAACAUCCAGAAGAGGCGAAAGCCAUCCGGGCCAUGUGCAGAAGUCAGGGCCAUACCCGGUCCUCAAGGUGUGUGGACUUCCACUGAGUCCCUGUCAUCCUCCAACAGUGAUGACAGCAAGCAGUGUCCCAGCUUCCUCCUAGCCAGAAGCCACGUCACGUCGACCCCAAUCCCACGGCCACCUGCCC
This 486-nucleotide long non-coding RNA is filed under the name Rattus norvegicus (Norway rat). Its description in RNAcentral is "long non-coding RNA NONRATT001631". Lineage: Eukaryota; Metazoa; Chordata; Mammalia; Rodentia; Muridae. The record is from RNAcentral.